Vicia villosa (hairy vetch) is the source of this 717-nucleotide long non-coding RNA. RefSeq lists it as uncharacterized. The record is from RefSeq and is a predicted model, not a curated record. The transcript has 3 exons. Lineage: Eukaryota; Viridiplantae; Streptophyta; Magnoliopsida; Fabales; Fabaceae.
AUGUCUAAAAGUAUAACAUGCCUUAUAUGGUGAUUGGGCUUUGUUUUAAUAUUAGAACAACUUUUAUAUCUUGUUUCAGGACUAUGAAAUAGGAGUUGAUUGGAUCAAUGUAGAAUUUAAGGACAAUCAAGAGUGUUUGGAUCUCUUUGAAAAGGCCAAGGUGGGUUUGGAAAAGUGUAAAAGGUAUUCUCUCGGAUAACACAAAAAUCACAGUGAAACACCUCACUGAUUAUCAUAUGCUGGUGGAGAGGUUGCGUUUGGAGUUCAUAGAAACCUGCUAAGACUAAUUGGAAUCUUUUCAAACUCAACUGAAAGAAUCCUGGUAUAUCCUUUCGUGAAAAAUCUAAGCAUAGCGUAUCAAUUAAGAGAUUUGAAAUAUGAUGAGAAAGGCUUAGAUUGGCCAAAAAGAAAGUGUGUGGCUUUCGGAACUUCACACAGUUUGGAAUAUCUACACGAGCAAUGCAAUCCGAAGAUAAUUCACCAUGAUCGAAAGGCUGCAAAUAUCCUUCUAGAUGAUGAGUUUGAACCGGAAUAUUUGUCAACCGGAAAAUCGUUAGGAGAAAACAGAUGUUCUUGAAUACGGCAUAUCACUUUUUAAUCUUAUCACAGGUCAGCUUGUUAUUGACCUCUCUCGGCUCGACGAUGAGGACGUUUUUCUCAUUGAUGAUGUAACAUUUUCAAUUUUUAUAAUAUUAUUUCUGUAAAUUUAUUGAUUAC